RNAcentral lists this ribosomal RNA (425 nucleotides) under uncultured bacterium. Its description in RNAcentral is "bacterial SSU rRNA". It matches the Rfam family "Bacterial small subunit ribosomal RNA", at positions 30 to 453 of the family's 1533-position model. The record is from RNAcentral.
AUUGAACGCUGGCGGCAGGCCUAACACAUGCAAGUCGAGCGGAUGAGUGGAGCUUGCUCCAUGAUUCAGCGGCGGACGGGUGAGUAAUGCCUAGGAAUCUGCCUGGUAGUGGGGGACAACGUUUCGAAAGGAACGCUAAUACCGCAUACGUCCUACGGGAGAAAGCAGGGGACCUUCGGGCCUUGCGCUAUCAGAUGAGCCUAGGUCGGAUUAGCUAGUAGGUGAGGUAAUGGCUCACCUAGGCGACGAUCCGUAACUGGUCUGAGAGGAUGAUCAGUCACACUGGAACUGAGACACGGUCCAGACUCCCUACGGGAGGCAGCAGUGGGGGAAUAUUGGACAAUGGGCGAAAGCCUGAUCCAGCCAUGCCGCGUGUGUGAAGAAGGUCUUCGGAUUGUAAAGCACUUUAAGUUGGGAGGAAGGGC